This 467-nucleotide ribosomal RNA is filed under the name uncultured bacterium. RNAcentral describes it as "partial 16S ribosomal RNA". It matches the Rfam family "Bacterial small subunit ribosomal RNA", at positions 29 to 507 of the family's 1533-position model. The record is from RNAcentral.
ACGCACGCUGGCGGCGUGCUUAACACAUGCAAGUCGAACGGAAAGGCCCUGCUUUUGUGGGGUGCUCGAGUGGCGAACGGGUGAGUAACACGUGAGUAACCUGCCCUUGACUUUGGGAUAACUUCAGGAAACUGGGGCUAAUACCGGAUAGGAGCUCCUGCUGCAUGGUGGGGGUUGGAAAGUUUCGGCGGUUGGGGAUGGACUCGCGGCUUAUCAGCUUGUUGGUGGGGUAGUGGCUUACCAAGGCUUUGACGGGUAGCCGGCCUGAGAGGGUGACCGGCCACAUUGGGACUGAGAUACGGCCCAGACUCCUACGGGAGGCAGCAGCGGGGAAUAUUGCACAAUGGGCGGAAGCCUGAUGCAGCAACGCCGCGUGCGGGAUGACGGCCUUCGGGUUGUAAACCGCUUUCGCCUGUGACGAAGCGUGAGUGACGGUAAUGGGUAAAGAAGCACCGGCUAACUACGUG